AACGAACGCUGGCGGCAUGCCUAACACAUGCAAGUCGAACGAGAUCUUCGGGUCUAGUGGCGCACGGGUGCGUAACGCGUGGGAAUCUGCCCUUUGGUUCGGAAUAACAGUUGGAAACGACUGCUAAUACCGGAUGAUGACGAAAGUCCAAAGAUUUAUCGCCAGAGGAUGAGCCCGCGUAGGAUUAGCUAGUUGGUGUGGUAAAGGCGCACCAAGGCGACGAUCCUUAGCCGGUCUGAGAGGAUGAUCAGCCACACUGGGACUGAGACACGGCCCAGACUCCUACGGGAGGCAGCAGUGGGGAAUAUUGGACAAUGGGCGAAAGCAUGAUCCAGCAAUGCCGCGUGAGUGAUGAAGGCCUGAGGGUUGUAAAGCUCUUUUACCCGGGAUGAUAAUGACAGUACCGGGAGAAUAAGCUCCGGCUAACUCCGUGCCAGCCGCCGCGGUAA
This 449-nucleotide ribosomal RNA is filed under the name uncultured bacterium. Its description in RNAcentral is "partial 16S ribosomal RNA". It matches the Rfam family "Bacterial small subunit ribosomal RNA", at positions 29 to 523 of the family's 1533-position model. The record is from RNAcentral.